This 428-nucleotide long non-coding RNA is filed under the name Strigops habroptila (Kakapo). Its description in RNAcentral is "lncRNA (ENSSHBG00005000683.1)". The record is from RNAcentral. Lineage: Eukaryota; Metazoa; Chordata; Aves; Psittaciformes; Psittacidae.
GCGGGCGCCGGGAGACGGGCGGCGAGCAGCGCGGCGGCGAGGAGACCACCGCGCACACGCACUCACACACACACACACACACACACACACACACACACACACACAUCCCGCCCUCCCUCUGUGCCUGCUCCUUCCUCGCCCCCCGCCGCCUCCCCUGCUCUCCCCCCUCCUCCUCCUCCUUUCUCUGCGACGAGCGAGAGAGGGAGAGGGGGGAAAAAAGCCACUCACAGGGACUGAUGUGCAACUAAUUAAAGGCAGGCAGGCUGGUAGCGUCUGCACACUCAAGCCCCCCCAAAUAAAGAGCCUGCUGCGGCAGCUCCCGUGAGGAUGCAGGAGGAGCGGCUGCCCGGCCAGGCACCGACGGCGGGAAUGCGCCCGGAGCAGGAGGAGGAGGAGGAUUAAGCGACACCCCCCCGACCCCCCUCGCC